GUUUUCAACCGAAACUUUGACGGCUUAAUUCCUCCUCCCGGUUACAGCGAUUAUACGUUGAUCGUCCUUUACCGUAUCUCAUUGGGUCAAAGCUGUUCAUGGAACAAGAAGAUGUAGGUCUUGGAGAGCUGUCCAGUGAAGAAGGCUCUGUAGGCAGUGAUCGUGGCAGUAUUGUGGACAGUGAGGAAGAGAAAGAAGAAGAGGAGUCAGAUGAAGAUUUUGCCAAUCAUAGUGACAAUGAUCAAAACUGGCACACGACACAAAUGAGUGAUGAAGAAGAGGAUGAUGAUGGUUGUGACCUUUUUGCUGACUCCGAGAAGAAGGAGGAAGAUAUUGAGGACAUUGAAGAAAGUACUAGACCUAAAAGAAGCAGACGUACGUCAUUUGCUAAUGAGCUGGCUGCCCGCAUCAAGGGUGACGCCGUGGGCCGAGUGGACGAGGAGCCAACAAAUGAAGAGGAUAACUUAUUCGCACCCCCUAAGCUGACCGAUGAGGACUUCUCACCAUUUGGCUCUCGAGGUGGCCUGUUUAGUGGGGGCAAGGGGCUCUUUGAUGAUGAGGAUGAGGAGAGUCUUUAUCAUCCAAA
This 586-nucleotide long non-coding RNA is filed under the name Aotus nancymaae (Ma's night monkey). RNAcentral's name for it is "lncRNA (ENSANAG00000039566.1)". The record is from RNAcentral. Lineage: Eukaryota; Metazoa; Chordata; Mammalia; Primates; Aotidae.